AAACUUUCAACAACGGAUCUCUUGGUUCUGGCAUCGAUGAAGAACGCAGCAAAAUGCGAUAAGUAAUGUGAAUUGCAGAAUUCAGUGAAUCAUCGAAUCUUUGAACGCACAUUGCGCCCGCCAGUAUUCUGGCGGGCAUGCCUGUUCGAGCGUUAUUU
Molecule: ribosomal RNA, 158 nt
Filed under: Fusarium verticillioides
Lineage: Eukaryota; Fungi; Ascomycota; Sordariomycetes; Hypocreales; Nectriaceae
Description: 5.8S ribosomal RNA
Rfam family: 5.8S ribosomal RNA
About the family: 5.8S ribosomal RNA (5.8S rRNA) is a component of the large subunit of the eukaryotic ribosome. It is transcribed by RNA polymerase I as part of the 45S precursor that also contains 18S and 28S rRNA.
Source: RNAcentral